Molecule: non-coding RNA, 183 nt
Organism: Triticum aestivum (bread wheat)
Lineage: Eukaryota; Viridiplantae; Streptophyta; Magnoliopsida; Poales; Poaceae
Source: Rfam
CAAAUACUCCCUCCGUCCAGAAAUACUUGUCAUCAAAAUGAAUAAAAGGGGAUGUAUCUAGAUGUAAUUUAGUUUUAGAUACAUCACUUUUUGUCCAUUUACCGAAAAAGGCUUUCGCCCCGCUUUAUAAAUAAAGCAAUGACCAUUUUGAUGACAAGUAUUUUCGGACGGAGGGAGUAUUUA